UACAGGGAGACCUACUUCAUCAGGACCUGACCCAAACUUUAGGGUCCGAUGGAAGUCAUCCCAAAGGUCGGUCGAGGUAGCAAGUAAUGGUUUUCAAACUAUUUGCAGGUUUGCAAACACUGACUCAAUGAUGGUGAGAAAUCACUACCAAAAGUUCGGUUCUGCAACCGCCACACUGUAGCUGAGCUUGCUACAGUAGUAUCUGUGGUUAAGAGUUAGCCAGUUCAGCAAGUGAACUGAUACUAACCGAGAGUAUUCCAACCACUUCGCACCUAAGGCUUCAGCAACCUAUUUAGUUCUGGAAUUGCUAGACUGGAUGGCCUGCUGGAUGUUUAGUCCAGUGAGAACCUUGAAAACUGCAUAGCAAUAGUCAUAAGCCAACUGUAAAGGCUCAAGUUAAUCUUGAGUACUUGCAAGCAGGUAGAUAUCGAAAUAGACACUAAGUAAAAGU
RNAcentral lists this unclassified non-coding RNA (451 nucleotides) under coccoid cyanobacterium ATA8-1-RM1. RNAcentral describes it as "16S-23S ribosomal RNA intergenic spacer". Lineage: Bacteria; Bacillati; Cyanobacteriota. The record is from RNAcentral.